CUUAUCUUUAGGAGGAGUGGGCUUCAUACAGGUUCGACUGAGAUAGAUAGUCACAUACAGGUUUCUCACUGCAGUGGGACCUUCCAGUGCUUUCUUCCCCAUGUGAAGAACACGUUGCACACUGUCACCUGUGUCUUCCUAACGUGCAGCACUUCCUGCUCCUCACAAUGACCGAGUAACAAUUCAUCACCCACCCCAGCCCUCCUGCUCCCUACUCUCUGCAGCCUCUCAUGUGCCCUGUUCAGUCUCAAAUUCUGUGACAUUAACUUCGUUAGCUUCCUAGGUCAGUGAGAUCAUUCUCUAACUGAUUUCCUACCCGAGUUUAUCUACUUCACAUCGUGACUCCCGGCUGAGCUGCGCUGUCACACGUGACAGGGUUCACAGAUACCUGGUUUUCCACGGAGCACACACACC
RNAcentral lists this long non-coding RNA (414 nucleotides) under Fukomys damarensis (Damara mole-rat). RNAcentral describes it as "lncRNA (ENSFDAG00000033048.1)". The record is from RNAcentral. Lineage: Eukaryota; Metazoa; Chordata; Mammalia; Rodentia; Bathyergidae.